GCCCAACUCAUGACAGUCGUACGGUAACAGGAAGCAGCUUGCUGCUUUGCUGACGAGUGGCGGACGGGUGAGUAAUGUCUGGGAAACUGCCUGAUGGAGGGGGAUAACUACUGGAAACGGUGGCUAAUACCGCAUAACGUCGCAAGACCAAAGAGGGGGACCUUCGGGCCUCUUGCCAUCAGAUGUGCCCAGAUGGGAUUAGCUUGUUGGUGAGGUAACGGCUCACCAAGGCGACGAUCCCUAGCUGGUCUGAGAGGAUGACCAGCCACACUGGAACUGAGACACGGUCCAGACUCCUACGGGAGGCAGCAGUGGGGAAUAUUGCACAAUGGGCGCAAGCCUGAUGCAGCCAUGCCGCGUGUAUGAAGAAGGCCUUCGGGUUGUAAAGUACUUUCAGCGGGGAGGAAGGUGUUGUGGUUAAUAACCGCAGCAAUUGACGUUACCCGCAGAAGAAGCACCGGCUAACUCCGUGCCAGCAGCCGCGGUAAUACGGAGGGUGCAAGCGUUAAUCGGAAUUACUGGGCGUAAAGCGCACGCAGGCGGUCUGUCAAGUCGGAUGUGAAAUCCCCGGGCUCAACCUGGGAACUGCAUUCGAAACUGGCAGGCUUGAGUCUUGUAGAGGGGGGUAGAAUUCCAGGUGUAGCGGUGAAAUGCGUAGAGAUCUGGAGGAAUACCGGUGGCGAAGGCGGCCCCCUGGACAAAGACUGACGCUCAGGUGCGAAAGCGUGGGGAGCAAACAGGAUUAGAUACCCUGGUAGUCCACGCCGUAAACGAUGUCUACUUGGAGGUUGUGCCCUUGAGGCGUGGCUUCCGGAGCUAACGCGUUAAGUAGACCGCCUGGGGAGUACGGCCGCAAGGUUAAAACUCAAAUGAAUUGACGGGGGCCCGCACAAGCGGUGGAGCAUGUGGUUUAAUUCGAUGCAACGCGAAGAACCUUACCUGGUCUUGACAUCCACAGAACUUUCCAGAGAUGGAUUGGUGCCUUCGGGAACUGUGAGACAGGUGCUGCAUGGCUGUCGUCAGCUCGUGUUGUG
This 1034-nucleotide ribosomal RNA is filed under the name Salmonella enterica. Its description in RNAcentral is "bacterial SSU rRNA". It matches the Rfam family "Bacterial small subunit ribosomal RNA", at positions 46 to 1069 of the family's 1533-position model. Lineage: Bacteria; Pseudomonadati; Pseudomonadota; Gammaproteobacteria; Enterobacterales; Enterobacteriaceae. The record is from RNAcentral.